This 182-nucleotide non-coding RNA is filed under the name Bacteroidota bacterium. Lineage: Bacteria; Pseudomonadati; Bacteroidota. The record is from RNAcentral.
UACCUUUGCCGGGUAUUUGGUCCCGUAUUGGGAUAAUAGGGAAACAGGUGAGAUUCCUGUACAGUUCCCGCUGCUGUAAUUUCGUAAUUUUUUUGCCAUCAGGCCACUGUCUGCAUCGUUUGGACGGGAAGGCGGCAAAGAGUAGGAUAAGUCAGAAGACCUGCCGGAUACAAAGGGUUUUA